RNAcentral lists this ribosomal RNA (253 nucleotides) under uncultured bacterium. RNAcentral's name for it is "partial 16S ribosomal RNA". It matches the Rfam family "Bacterial small subunit ribosomal RNA", at positions 524 to 776 of the family's 1533-position model. RNAcentral also lists the same sequence under 1 other name. The record is from RNAcentral.
UACGGAGGGUGCGAGCGUUGUCCGGAAUCACUGGGCGUAAAGGGCGCGUAGGCGGUGGGGCAAGCGUGCGGUGAAAGCCUGGGGCUCAACCCCGGGUCGGCCGUGCGGACUGCCCGACUCGAGCACUGUAGGGGCAGGCGGAAUUCCGGGUGUAGCGGUGGAAUGCGUAGAGAUCCGGAAGAACACCGGUGGCGAAGGCGGCCUGCUGGGCAGUGGCUGACGCUGAGGCGCGACAGCGUGGGGAGCAAACAGG